UAUCCUGUUCAGUGUCAUGGAGGAAAACAGCAAAAUUUACUCUGCAAGUUCUGGAAAAACAGACACACGACACUCCGCAAAAUGUGCUACUUUGCAGCCCUGUAAUAUAUAAAGCAAAGUAGGCAGCAAUGAAUGUGUCACUGCUGCACACAAGUAAGAGAAAACUCAAGGUAAUGGGAUGUGGCCAACUGGCGAAGGAAAAAGAAGACAUGACUACAUUCCAAACCACAGUCAGGAAUCCCACUUCUGCAGACCAGGAUGUGACACCACAGCUGAUCUCUUAACACCCCUUUGCUACAGCAGCUCAUAUACUUCUGGACAAGUGUGCAAUUGGCCUUUUACCAUACACAGAUGUUCAACACCACCAGGGAGCUGAAAAUUAUGUCUCUACAGAGUGGAAGAAUUGGUGAAAGAGUCCAACACACAUACAAAUUCAAGAGUCUAUCGCUGUACCUGCUUCCUUGUCCACUUGAGCAUAGAUCCUGGACCAGGCUCAACAGGCUACUCUGUCUUGUCCAGAAUUGCUAUAAGUAUGCACCAGCUUGGCCUGAUUUCCUCCCAGUGCUGUAACUAUGACAGUAUGGCAGACAAUAACUCAUGUGGUGGAACAGUGCUCAACCCGACUUCUGGAGGGUGGUUUACAAUGCCUAGCUUGCAUUGAUACAACCUGUUCUCUGGUUACAGAACCUAGACAUCUGCAUACAAGAGACAGAGAGAAGUCAAAGAAGGAAGCACAUAGCAUCUCAGUUGUAUGCUGAAGAUCACAUGACACACCCAUUCUUUGCCAUCAGCCCACUCCUGUUCACUUGCAUGUAAGAAAGCAAUUAUGCAAGGGGUUUGAGAUGUCUGUGUAGUGAGGAGAAAUGUCAACUGCUUAGCCUUUCCUACACUCACACCAUCUCUGAUCACACUUGUGCAAUAAGUCAACCAUCUUGUGCUAUCUGCUGUCAAAUAAGGAUCUGUCUGAAAGAUAUCUAAGUGCUCAAAACCAUUGUUACAUAGCAGAAGUAAAGUUAUAUUACGGGUUUAACAGCAUACAAAAGUCUCUGCUUAGUUAACCCCAGGGGAGGGAGUGUGGAUGGGGAAUACAUCAGGCAAGGACCCCCGCUCCCAUUUGCAGUCUAAAUUUAAUCUCUGCUUUCAAGGAGGUAGAGUCAUGAGUCCACAUAUGUGGAAGCCUGAAGCUGCUCCUUUGAUACAAACCUGCAGGGUCACUGAAAUGGCCAGUCUGAUUACCAAUAGACCAAACACAAAAAGACAGAACAAGCUGCUUCUGAAGGCUUCCUGCUGGGUCAUAGGUCAGUCCCUGUGGAGGCAGGGAUCCUACAUGAGAUCUAUCAUGUUUGUACUUUCUAUUCUAUAAAGCAGGAAAAAGCACAGGUCAGCAGUAAUCAAACACUCAUUGUUAUCUGCUGGCUCUCUCAUGGCAUACAUGAUUUCAGUCUGGUUCCUAGUGGAUGUGUGCCUAACAAAACACAAUUAAUCAGCACAAUUGGCACUAAUUAACAACCUUGUUGGGAGUCUCAAAAGAGAAGCCAAGCACUGAGCUAUCUUCUUGCCCACAGAGGUGGUCUCGCCACAUAUAGGAAGCAACACUUCAAAAGCGAUAUGGGGGAAGCUUGCUCUGCUACUGCCUAUGCUGUACAUAUUUUAUUGUUUGAAUAAAUAGAGAGCUCUAGACACCAAGGCUGUCAAUCUGUCACCAUUCAUGGAGUACUUAAAAUUUAAAAAUAAAAUAAAAUCAGAAAGCUAUAGCUAUUGACAUUGCACCCAUCAGCAAAGUUGGUAGGGAAAGAAUCUAUGAAUAUACCUUGGGGUUGUGCUUUUGGGUCCAACUUGGUGCAGUUGAAAAAGGAAUAUUUUGGUUGGUGAAAUCUGACCUCUUUAGGCAGGUCAACACACUAUUACAAAGCAGAGUAAACCAUGAAUGAUACCUGACAGUGAAACUUGGUAUUCUAAUCUGCCUUUCUGUGGAGCACUGAUAUGUAGGCCUAGUGAUGUUUGUGUUAGCGAUUUAUUAACACAUGAACAUAAGGUGUUUUUUUUUCAGUAUCUCUCUUACCUCAGAUAUAUAGCUGUGGAAUUUGGGUGAUACCAUGCUGAAAUUUGUUGUGGUCUGCAAAUCCCUUAAAAAACAAACAAACAAACAAACAAACAAACAAACAAACAAACAAACAAAAAACCCACAAUGAAAGAGUCAGUGAGCUGGAUGUCACAAGAGUAGUUGGUGUUUGACAUCCUCAUGUUACCAAUUGCAGAAAGGAGGAGUUUAUUAAAGAAAGUCAAGAUCAAAUUUCUGCGAUGGGCCCAUGACAGAUGCCUCUGCUUACACCAGGGCUGAAUUUGGUCCUCAGAGUUUCUGACAAACCACAUACAUCACAGCCAAAAUGCACCACAAGAGUGUCAAACUUCAUCCAGUGAAAAGGGAUGGAUUAAUGUUUAAUUAUGGUCAGUGGGCAAAGACAUACGUUUCGCACUCCAUACUACCCUCAAACCAUAAUGAGACUCUCACUGAUGUCAAAGGGAGGUUUGCACAAAGAUCAAGGGUAGCAUCUGGCCUUUACUAGUAAUAAUCAUAUUGAUUUAAUUAUAAAUACAGAAAAAGUAGAUGCAUAAUUACUAAUUUGUCUUAGUGUAACAAAGCACAUGCUCCUUCAAAAUAAUGAGUUAUAAUAUUAAAUUACACUUGCCAGGGCACUACUAUUCAUUGUUGCCUAAAGGAAAGAUUCAGAUCAAAUGAACAUGUCUACUAAGGACUGUUGUGCCAGUCAGAGUGACCACAGUUGAUAUAGUAUUGCCAGGAAGUUCCUUCAUUUAGCUCAAUCUUGUAAAUCCACAAACCCUAACUCUGCCUUUAAUGGACAUUUUGGUGACUUUUAAUUGCAGAUCUUUGGAACAACUGCCAGUCUGCUGUGCACAUUUGGGUUAAAUUAAGAGUAGCAUAACUGCAAAUAUUCAGGAAAUAUUGUGUGCCCUUUUUAUUGGUUACAAAAUACCAGAGCAGGCUCAGAAUAAUAGUGUGAGAGGGAAUAGGAAAUGAAAAACCUUUGUUGCUAUAGAAAUGGCACUCAAUUACUCUUACCUUCUUAAAAAUGGCACAUUAGCCCUUUAUUUGCUUUGGCAAGAGAAAACAAACCUCUUUAUUUCUGCAUAUAGCAGGAAUUUAUCCAUGUAUUGCCACUCACACUUAUCUCUGCAGGAAAGCUCAUGAUAUACAAAUGGUGCAGGAAAGCCAAGUUAAACUUUUCAAUCAAUCAUUUUUAUUUAUGCGAUGCAGAAACAUUUACUGUUGCUGUCAAGCAAGCAAAAACUUUAAUAAGGUGAAAAAGCCAUAUUAAUUGAUAAAUUACAGCAUAAGCUAUAAAAUAGCCUACACUUUUUACAAACAUAUCUCCUUCCAUUUUAUGGCUCAGAUGCUUAAAUUGUUAAACACAUUUAGAAAAAAAAUAUGAAAAUACUUUCCAGAACUGACCGAAAUAGAGUAUUAGUGCCAAUUUAUACUCUACACCUUAUGAAGGUGAAAUAUAUAGUACAUAUACUGGAAAAAAAAAAGAAAUCAGUGUCUAUAUUAGUUACUAUAUAGUGGUAUCCAAGAUACCACAGCUAUUUCCUAUUCUAAAUCGAGGGCAGAGUAUUUCAAAUAUAACACUGUGAUAUAACCGUGGACAAAUGUUGAUUUUUUAAAUGGAAUCCAUUAUGAGUGUAUGUAGUCAAGAUAAAAACUUGCAUCAGACAGAGGAUGCUGUGCAAGCACAGUGUUUUGCCUUUUGUUUGAGAGUGGUAGGAGAGAAGGUGGUACAUAAUUAUAUAAUAUUUUAUUCUGAAACAAAAUAGGCCUGACUACAAUUAACCUACCCUGAUACAAGUAACUCCACUGAAGUCAAUUGAACUUUACAGGUGCACAACUGCCCUAGUGUGAUAUCAUAAUGAAGCCUAGGCUACCUUUUUGCUUAGUAUGACCUCCUCUAGUUUAUAGCUAUUGCAAGAAUAUUUCUUCUUGAUUCCAGAGGCUUACCUCACUGCAGGUCUUAUUCUAAUUGCUGAAAGGUGCAACUUAAAUAACUAUUACACAUGAAGUUUUAAUGCAACUGUUUGUCUUUGACUUUUGAUAUCAGUAAUACCAAGGGAUUGUAAUAAAUAGCCCUGGUCAGAAGUUGCCAGGUGAAAUGA
This is a long non-coding RNA of Chrysemys picta bellii (western painted turtle), 4170 nucleotides long. RefSeq lists it as uncharacterized. NCBI's taxonomy places the organism in Eukaryota, Metazoa, Chordata, Testudines, Emydidae. The record is from RefSeq and is a predicted model, not a curated record.